AUUGAACGCUGGCGGCAGGCCUAACACAUGCAAGUCGAACGAGUGGCGGACGGGUGAGUAAUGCCUAGGAAUCUGCCUGGUAGUGGGGGAUAACGUCCGGAAACGGUAGCUAAUACCGCAUACUAUCAGAUGAGCCUAGGUGGGAUUAGCUAGUUGGUGGGGUAAAGGCCUACCAAGGCGACGAUCCGUAACUGGUCUGAGAGGAUGAUCAGCCACACUGGAACUGAGACACGGUCCAGACUCCUACGGGAGGCAGCAGUGGGGAAUAUUGGACAAUGGGCGAAAGCCUGAUCCAGCCAUGCCGCGUGUGUGAAGAAGGCCUUCGGGUUGUAAAGCACUUUCAGCGGGGAGGCGUUACCCGCAGAAGAAGCACCGGCUAACUCCGUGCCAGCAGCCGCGGUAAUUC
Molecule: ribosomal RNA, 406 nt
Filed under: uncultured bacterium
Lineage: Bacteria
Description: partial 16S ribosomal RNA
Rfam family: Bacterial small subunit ribosomal RNA
Source: RNAcentral